GACGAACGCUGGCGGCGUGCUUAACACAUGCAAGUCGAGCGGUAAGGCCCCUUCGGGGGUACACGAGCGGCGAACGGGUGAGUAACACGUGGGUGACCUGCCCUCAGCUCUGGGAUAAGCCUGGGAAACUGGGUCUAAUACCGGAUAUGACUCCAUGACGCAUGUCGUGGGGUGGAAAGCCUUGUGCGGCUGGGGAUGGGCCCGCGGCCUAUCAGCUUGUUGGUGGGGUGAUGGCCUACCAAGGCGACGACGGGUAGCCGGCCUGAGAGGGCGACCGGCCACACUGGGACUGAGACACGGCCCAGACUCCUACGGGAGGCAGCAGUGGGGAAUCUUGCGCAAUGGGCGAAAGCCUGACGCAGCGACGCCGCGUGAGGGAUGACGGCCUGGU
RNAcentral lists this ribosomal RNA (391 nucleotides) under uncultured bacterium. RNAcentral's name for it is "bacterial SSU rRNA". It matches the Rfam family "Bacterial small subunit ribosomal RNA", at positions 28 to 420 of the family's 1533-position model. The record is from RNAcentral.